Molecule: ribosomal RNA, 870 nt
Filed under: uncultured bacterium
Lineage: Bacteria
Description: bacterial SSU rRNA
Rfam family: Bacterial small subunit ribosomal RNA
Source: RNAcentral
AGAGUUUGAUCCUGGCUCAGGAUGAACGCUGGCGGCGUGCUUAACACAUGCAAGUCGAACGAAGCACCUGAGAACAAUUCUUCGGAGGCGUUCUCUUGUGACUGAGUGGCGGACGGGUGAGUAACACGUGGGUAACCUGCCCAAGAGACUGGGAUAACACCUGGAAACAGAUGCUAAUACCGGAUAACAACACUAGACGCAUGUCUAGAGUUUGAAAGAUGGUUCUGCUAUCACUCUUGGAUGGACCUGCGGUGCAUUAGCUAGUUGGUAAGGUAACGGCUUACCAAGGCAAUGAUGCAUAGCCGAGUUGAGAGACUGAUCGGCCACAUUGGGACUGAGACACGGCCCAAACUCCUACGGGAGGCAGCAGUAGGGAAUCUUCCACAAUGGACGAAAGUCUGAUGGAGCAACGCCGCGUGAGUGAAGAAGGGUUUCGGCUCGUAAAGCUCUGUUGGUAGUGAAGAAAGAUAGAGGUAGUAACUGGCCUUUAUUUGACGGUAAUUACUUAGAAAGUCACGGCUAACUACGUGCCAGCAGCCGCGGUAAUACGUAGGUGGCAAGCGUUGUCCGGAUUUAUUGGGCGUAAAGCGAGUGCAGGCGGUUCAAUAAGUCUGAUGUGAAAGCCUUCGGCUCAACCGGAGAAUUGCAUCAGAAACUGUUGAACUUGAGUGCAGAAGAGGAGAGUGGAACUCCAUGUGUAGCGGUGGAAUGCGUAGAUAUAUGGAAGGACACCAGUGGCGAAGGCGGCUCUCUGGUCUGCAACUGACGCUGAGGCUCGAAAGCAUGGGUAGCGAACAGGAUUAGAUACCCUGGUAGUCCAUGCCGUAAACGAUGAGUGCUAAGUGUUGGGAGGUUUCCGCCUCUCAGUGC